GAUGAAGAACGUAGCGAAAUGCGAAAAGUAAUGUGAAUUGCAGAAUUCAGUGAAUCAUCGAAUCUUUGAACGCACAUUGCGCCCGCCAGUAUUCUGGCGGGCAUGCCUGUCUGAGCGUCAUUUCAACCCUCACGCCCCUAGGGCGUGGUGUUGGGGAUCGGCCAAGGCCCGCAAGGGACGGCCGGCCCCUAAAUCUAGUGGCGGACCCAUCGUGGCCUCCCCUGCGAAGUAGUAAUAUAUUCCGCAUCGGAUAGCGAUGAGCCCCUGCCGUUAAACCCCCAACUCUUUCAAGGUUGACCUCAGAUCAGGUAGGAAUACCCGCUGAACUUAAGCAUAUAAUAAGCGGAGGA
This 350-nucleotide unclassified non-coding RNA is filed under the name soil metagenome. RNAcentral's name for it is "partial contains 5.8S ribosomal RNA, internal transcribed spacer 2, and large subunit ribosomal RNA". The stretch from base 1 to 120 matches the Rfam family "5.8S ribosomal RNA", at positions 35 to 154 of the family's 154-position model. The record is from RNAcentral.